UCGACUACUGUUGGUGAACUCCCAUCGCUCCGUCCACAACUUCUGCUGCAAGGAAGACUCCGCCCGGGCUCCUACGGGAGCCGGGCUCCGUCCACAACUUCUACUACAAGGAAGACUCCACCCGGACUCCUACAGGAGGCAGGCUCUGUCCACAACUUCUACUGCAAGGAGGACUCUGCCCGGGCUCCUAUGGGAGCCGAGCUUCGUCCACAACUUCUGCUGCAAGGAAGACUCCGUCCGGAC
This 243-nucleotide long non-coding RNA is filed under the name Elaeis guineensis (African oil palm). RNAcentral describes it as "long non-coding RNA (EGUI_LNC079001)". Lineage: Eukaryota; Viridiplantae; Streptophyta; Magnoliopsida; Arecales; Arecaceae. The record is from RNAcentral.